UGGGAAUAUUGGACAAUGGGGGCAACCCUGAUCCAGCCAUGCCGCGUGUGUGAAGAAGGCCUUUUGGUUGUAAAGCACUUUAAGCAGGGAGGAGAGGCUAAUGGUUAAUACCCAUUAGAUUAGGCGUUACCUGCAGAAUAAGCACCGGCUAACUCUGUGCCAGCAGCCGCGGUAAAUACAGAGGGUGCGAGCGUUAAUCGGAAUUUACUGGGCGUAAAGCGAGUGUAGGUGGCUCAUUAAGUCACAUGUGAAAUCCCCGGGCUUAACCUGGGAACUGCAUGUGAUACUGGUGGUGCUAGAAUAUGUGAGAGGGAAGUAGAAUUUCCCAGGUGUAGCGGUGAAAUGCGUAGAGAUCUGGAGGAAUACCGAUGGCGAAGGCAGCUUCCUGGCAUAAUAUUGACACUGAGAUUCGAAAGCGUGGGUAGCAAACAGGAUUAGAUACCCUGGCAGUCCACGCCGUAAAACGAUGUCUACUAGCCGUUGGGGUCCUUGAGACUUUAGUGGCGCAGUUAACGCGAUAAGUAGACCGCCUGGGGGAGUUACGGCCGCAAGGUU
Molecule: ribosomal RNA, 555 nt
Filed under: uncultured bacterium
Lineage: Bacteria
Description: partial 16S ribosomal RNA
Rfam family: Bacterial small subunit ribosomal RNA
Source: RNAcentral